UGUAAGCGUAUACCAAAGUUGUUGCAGUUAAAACGCUCGUAGUUGGAUUUCUGGUGGGAGCGAUCGGUCUGGCGCUUAGCGCGAGUACUUGCAUCGUCUCCGGCCAUCCUUGGGGAGAGUCUGUCUGGCAUUAGGUUGUCGGGCAGAGGAUCCUCAUCGUUUACUGUGAAAAAAUUAGAGUGUUCAAAGCAGGCUUAUGCCGUUGAAUAUAUUAGCAUGGAAUAAUAAGAUAGGACUUUGGUACUAUUUUGUUGGUUUGCGCACCAAAGUAAUGAUUAAUAGGGACAGUUGGGGGUAUUCGUAUUCCGUUGUCAGAGGUGAAAUUCUUGGAUUUACGGAAGACGAACUACUGCGAAAGCAUUUACCAAGGAUGUUUUCAUUAA
RNAcentral lists this ribosomal RNA (383 nucleotides) under uncultured eukaryote. RNAcentral's name for it is "partial 18S ribosomal RNA". It matches the Rfam family "Eukaryotic small subunit ribosomal RNA", at positions 592 to 976 of the family's 1831-position model. The record is from RNAcentral.